UGACUCUGUUUUACUCAGCAAAAUUCCUAC
RNAcentral lists this non-coding RNA (30 nucleotides) under Rattus norvegicus (Norway rat). Lineage: Eukaryota; Metazoa; Chordata; Mammalia; Rodentia; Muridae. The record is from RNAcentral.